Molecule: ribosomal RNA, 698 nt
Filed under: Bacillus sp. FJAT-17407
Lineage: Bacteria; Bacillati; Bacillota; Bacilli; Caryophanales; Bacillaceae
Description: bacterial SSU rRNA
Rfam family: Bacterial small subunit ribosomal RNA
Source: RNAcentral
UGCUCCUUUGACGUUAGCGGCGGACGGGUGAGUAACACGUGGGCAACCUACCCUAUAGUUUGGGAUAACUCCGGGAAACCGGGGCUAAUACCGAAUAAUCUCUUUUGCUUCAUGGUGAAAGACUGAAAGACGGUUUCGGCUGUCGCUAUAGGAUGGGCCCGCGGCGCAUUAGCUAGUUGGUGAGGUAACGGCUCACCAAGGCGACGAUGCGUAGCCGACCUGAGAGGGUGAUCGGCCACACUGGGACUGAGACACGGCCCAGACUCCUACGGGAGGCAGCAGUAGGGAAUCUUCCACAAUGGGCGAAAGCCUGAUGGAGCAACGCCGCGUGAGUGAAGAAGGUUUUCGGAUCGUAAAACUCUGUUGUAAGGGAAGAACAAGUACAGUAGUAACUGGCUGUACCUUGACGGUACCUUAUUAGAAAGCCACGGCUAACUACGUGCCAGCAGCCGCGGUAAUACGUAGGUGGCAAGCGUUGUCCGGAAUUAUUGGGCGUAAAGCGCGCGCAGGCGGUCCUUUAAGUCUGAUGUGAAAGCCCACGGCUCAACCGUGGAGGGUCAUUGGAAACUGGGGGACUUGAGUGCAGAAGAGGAAAGUGGAAUUCCAAGUGUAGCGGUGAAAUGCGUAGAGAUUUGGAGGAACACCAGUGGCGAAGGCGACUUUCUGGUCUGUAACUGACGCUGAGGCGCGAAAGCGUG